This 257-nucleotide unclassified non-coding RNA is filed under the name uncultured fungus. RNAcentral describes it as "partial contains small subunit ribosomal RNA, internal transcribed spacer 1, and 5.8S ribosomal RNA". The stretch from base 1 to 73 matches the Rfam family "Eukaryotic small subunit ribosomal RNA", at positions 1759 to 1831 of the family's 1831-position model. Lineage: Eukaryota; Fungi. The record is from RNAcentral.
UCAAACUUGGUCAUUUAGAGGAAGUAAAAGUCGUAACAAGGUUUCCGUAGGUGAACCUGCGGAAGGAUCAUUACCGAGUUGUGGGGCUCUUGGCCCAUUACUCCUACCCUAUGUUGACUUGAAGACUGUUGCUUCGGCGGGGGACCGCCGGAGGCAUCAUCAAAACCGUCUUGAACCGUGGCGUCUGAGUCUGAGAUAAUGGAACGAAAACUUUCAACAACGGAUCUCUUGGUUCUGGCAUCGAUGAAGAACGCAGC